RNAcentral lists this ribosomal RNA (248 nucleotides) under Channa punctata (spotted snakehead). RNAcentral's name for it is "partial 18S ribosomal RNA". It matches the Rfam family "Eukaryotic small subunit ribosomal RNA", at positions 36 to 263 of the family's 1831-position model. The record is from RNAcentral. Lineage: Eukaryota; Metazoa; Chordata; Actinopteri; Anabantiformes; Channidae.
CUCAAAGAUUAAGCCAUGCCAGUCUAAGUACACACGGCCGGUACAGUGAAACUGCGAAUGCUCAUAAAUCAGUUAUGGUUCCUUUGAUCGCUCUCACGUUACUUGGAUAACUGUGGCAAUUCUAGAGCUAAUACAUGCCAACGAGCGCUGACCUCCGGGGAUGCGUGCAUUUAUCAGACCCAAAACCCAUGCGGGGUGGCCCCCUUCCCGGGGGCGCCCCGGCCGCUUUGGUGACUCUAGAUAACCUC